Molecule: long non-coding RNA, 623 nt
Organism: Pangasianodon hypophthalmus (striped catfish)
Lineage: Eukaryota; Metazoa; Chordata; Actinopteri; Siluriformes; Pangasiidae
Exons: 3
Source: RefSeq, a predicted model, not a curated record
CGUGUGUGUGUGUGUUGCACGAACGACACCAGGCUGAGGCAGACGGAGAUCCUGAAGAAGGACUUCAGAAGCCUGAUUGAGAAGGUACGCAGCACAUCGCCCACGACGAGGAUCAUCGUGUCAGGACCGCUUCCCACGUUCCAGCGAGGAAUUGAGAGGCUCUACCACACUGACGGCCUGCACCCAAGCAGAGCUGGAGCAGCGGUCCUCUCGGACAACAUCUCUAGGACACUACGCACCAUCUGACUGCUACACUCCUGAGCUGCCGGUGAUCCAGACCUCCCCCCCUUCACUCUGGACCUGUCCACUGGCAAUGCUUCAUACUGCCACGAAAACGCUUCAGCUGUUUUCCAUGGACUACACCAACACACAUUGUGCUCACACACACGCACACUACAGUGUAAACCCAUAUGAGGAUGGGUUCUCUGUUGAGCCUGGUUCCUCUCAAGGUUUCUUCCUAUCACCAUCUCAGGGAGUUUUUCCUUGCCACCGUCGCCCUGCUUGCUCAUCAGAGACGGCACACACACACACUUCACUUUACUUUUGUUUGUGUAAAGCUGCUUUGAGACAAUGACCUUUGUAAAAAGCGCUAUACAAAUAAAAAUGAAUUGAAUUGAAUUGUU